CAAUAGCGUAUAUUAAAGUUGUUGCGGUUAAAAAGCUCGUAGUUGGAUUCCUGUAUGGAAGGGGCGUCCCCACCCUUUGGAUGGGGGUUGCUGCCUUCUUUGCAUCUUCCGGAGUAGAUGUUCCUCACUUCACUGUGAGGACAUUAUGCUCGGGUCAUUUACUUUGAGGAAAAGAGAGUGCUCCAAGCAGGCAAACGCCUGAAUACGUUAGCAUGGAAUAAUAGCAUCGGAUCAUCGUUCAGCUGUUGGUGUCUGGACGAGGAUAAAGGUGAACAGGGAUUGUUGGGGGCAUUCGUAUUUAAUUGUCAGAGGUGAAAUUCUUGGAUUUGUUAAAGACGGACUACCUGACGAAAGCUAUUUGCCGAAGGAUUGUUUUCUAUUGAUCAAAGAAACGUAAAGGUUAGGGAUACGAAGACGAUCAG
This 422-nucleotide ribosomal RNA is filed under the name uncultured eukaryote. RNAcentral's name for it is "bacterial SSU rRNA". It matches the Rfam family "Eukaryotic small subunit ribosomal RNA", at positions 592 to 1011 of the family's 1831-position model. The record is from RNAcentral.